GACGCAUCUUAAUACUACGAAUUUACAUAGGUGUAUAUAUCACAUCUCUUCAAAAUCCAAUAUAUUGUGGGACAGAGGGAGUGCAUGGUAUGUAGCUUCAUGGGGUCAAUUUUCCAGAUUAAAUGCAUAGAAAAGGAACAGUCAAUUCAGGUUAUGCCAAGCAUUAUGGUGUUUGCUAAUUUCAAUGGAGUGUGUAUUAUUCAGGAUAUGAGCUGAAAAACAGGACAGGGGGUGGCCAUUGUCCAGAAAGCACAUCAGACACAAAGGGGCUGUUUUAAUUUUUUUUUUGGGUAAAACUUGGCUUAGUUUAAUUUUUUUAUCUCUCAACUCUUUGAGCAAGCUAACAAAUAAAUGGUAGUAUGGAUAAAUGCUUAUAUUGACUAUUUUACAAAACUACUGUCGUGGGGGCGGAUGUUAUCUAACUUCAGAAGAUAAAGUGAUGGGCUUUAUUGUGUUUUGUUGUUGAGGGGAAAAAAGGGUCUGAGAUGUGGUAAUAGAAAUUUUUUUUUCCCUUGAGAUCAAUACUUGUAUAAAAAAAAUAUAGUAAAAGUACUAUAUCCUCCCUCCAUUCCAAAUAUAAGCAUUUGUAGAAUUCAAAAUUUUAUACUAAAAAUUCCAAUACAGGGGAAUUUAAGAAUUUUUUUCGCCAAUCAUAUUGUUAGGAGAGGAAUCGAAGCAAGUCAAGAUUUAUAAUUUGAGUACUAGAGGGGUGACUAAGACUAGAAUGGAAUCUUUCUCUUUUUCUCAAUAGUUGAGAAAAAACAAGAAAUGUUAUAUUUAGUAAUAGAGGAUUACUAUUUAAGGACUAUGAACGAUAAAGACGCCGUGGUCAGUUUCCACGUAAUAUUGAUGAGAUGUCAUAAUCCUCAAGUCAGUCAAUCUUAGAUUCCUAAGGAGCAACGAAUUGACCUUAGGAAUCCAAGUGAAAAUAUCAAAAACUGGAUUAAGGCACACACAUGUCCAUGACAUAUUAACAGCUUCUUCAAGUCUCAUGCAUGACUCAGUCACACCAUGUGACCUACGCUGAUCACGCAUUGACAGGGAGUGCUGACACUCUGAGUCUAAAUCACAUUGAAUUCGAUGAAAAUCCUAGUAGAUAUUUGUGGUUACCUAGUCAGCUAAUCUACAGGUUUUGCGUACAAUGCCUUGGACUACUCAUAUCUGUACGUGCUUCAUAAUUUGUUGAACUGCAUAAAAUGGCCGAUGUAAAACACACAGCUUGAAUUUCUUGAAAUUUUAUACUAUUUAUAGCAUAGUAUUUUUACGGUAUCUCCAGCAGCGGAGCUAGCUCCCGGGCAGGUUGGGCGUUUGUCCAUGCUUUCUCCACUACGACCGAUAGCUAUGGGUUACUGUCGACGAAAAACGCUAUCAGUCGCUCGGGUUAACGGCGUCGCUGAGUACCUGUUAAGCUAUCAGGAGGUAUGGAACUUCAUAUUAUAGAAUUUGACGCCUCUUACAACUCAGGUAUCGCAAUAACUGUAAAAUUUGUUUAUUUAAAUAUAUUUAAUCCAUUUGGCUGGACUAGCAUAAUAGAUUUCAGAUAAAUUACAUAAAAUUGUUCCUGGUGUUAAAUUUAGCAGUUGAACCGUAGAAUAAAUUACACCAUCUCGCCUGUACCUAACCAACGGACAUUCAAGAGACAAACCGGAGUAGACAACAGCAAUCUUUAACAAAAAGGAAAAGAAAAAAACGUUGAUAGUUACAACAGGGCGCUGCAAUAUAUGUGCACAAACGCCCAGUAACUAAUUAGGAAUCAACCGCAAUAAAGGAAUGCAUCCUUGUUCUAGGUAUUUACUCCCAAUACAUAGUUUGCUCCAGAGAGUGAGAGGCAGAGAGUUGCAUAGCAGCAUAAGUAGCAGCCAUCGGCAGACAUUGGCAGCUCGAUGGCAGAGAACACAAACCAUACCCCCACAUAAGCCAUGUGUUUUGGCUAGACAGGUUGGACGAUAUCUCAAAGAACAAACUCACCGAGUUGCUCGCAUAGAUGUUGGUGGCUAAUCGGAAUGGAAGGCCUUUGGGAUAUCGCUCGUGCAUCGGUGGAUUCUCAGAUUACACCGUACCUUUUCUCGCAUGGAUGGUGCACCUGCUUCUGCAUUCAGGGAUCAAAACUUCACGGACAAACAUACUUGAAAGUAGCUGCUGGAGCUGUGAUGUGCGACGACAGAGGAAGAUACAAGACAGCGGCAGCCCAAUUUUGUACGCAAGGCGAGAUGAUGGUGGAAGUUAUGGCAUUGCUGUAGAGCAGCUGAAUUUACAGAUCCGGAUCCUCCCUGCGGUAAUUCAUAGGAACACUGUGUCAACAGUUCAUCGUGUAUACCGCUACAAUGAAGUGAUGUAACACUGUAGCAAAUUAGCUUCUCUAUAGUUUAUUCCUCAAUGCAGAGGAUCUCGAUCCUGAACUGAUAGUUAAGCUAGGAGGAACGAAAGUCAUCAUCGAAACAUAUGCUAUGGAAUUGGCGAGGAUGGUGUAUUUUGAAACAGUAGGAGCUAAACCGGUCUAUCAUUGGACCAUGAUCUAA
Non-coding RNA from Oryza sativa Japonica Group (Japanese rice), 2519 nucleotides. Lineage: Eukaryota; Viridiplantae; Streptophyta; Magnoliopsida; Poales; Poaceae. The record is from RefSeq and is a predicted model, not a curated record.